GAUGAACGCUGGCGGCGUGCCUAAUGCAUGCAAGUCGAGCGAACGGACGAGAAGCUUGCUUCUCUGAUGUUAGCGGCGGACGGGUGAUUAACACGUGGAUAACCUACCUAUAAGACUGGGAUAACUUCGGGAAACCGGAGCUAAUACCGGAUAAUAUUUUGAACCGCAUUGUUCAAAAGUGAAAGACGGUCUUGCUGUCACUUAUAGAUGGAUCCGCGCUGCAUUAGCUAGUUGGUAAGGCAACGGCUUACCAAGGCAACGAUGCAUAGCCGACCUGAGAGGGUGAUCGGCCACACUGGAACUGAGAAAGGGUCAAGACUCCUACGGGAGGCAGCAGUAGAGAAUCUUCCGCAAUGGGCGAAAGCCUGACGGAGCAACGCCGCGUGAGUGAUGAAGGUCUUCGGAUCGUAAAACUCUGUUAUUAGGGAAGAACAUAUGUGUAAGUACCUGUGCACAUCUUGACGGUACCUAAUCAGAAAGCCACGGCUAACUACGUG
RNAcentral lists this ribosomal RNA (497 nucleotides) under uncultured bacterium. RNAcentral's name for it is "partial 16S ribosomal RNA". It matches the Rfam family "Bacterial small subunit ribosomal RNA", at positions 28 to 507 of the family's 1533-position model. The record is from RNAcentral.